GGGUUGUGAGGUUAAGCGACUAAGCGUACACGGUGGAUGCCCUGGCAGUCAGAGGCGAUGAAGGGCGUGCUAAUCUGCGAUAAGCGCCGGUAAGGUGAUAUGAACCGUUAUAACCGGCGAUACCCGAAUGGGGAAACCCAGUGUGACUCGUCACACUAUCAUUAACUGAAUCCAUAGGUUAAUGAGGCGAACCGGGGGAACUGAAACAUCUAAGUACCCCGAGGAAAAGAAAUCAACCGAGAUUCCCCCAGUAGCGGCGAGCGAACGGGGAGGAGCCCAGAGCCUGAAUCAGCAUGUGUGUUAGUGGAAGCGUCUGGAAAGGCGCGCGAUACAGGGUGACAGCCCCGUACACAAAAGCGCAUGUGCUGUGAGCUCGAUGAGUAGGGCGGGACACGUGGUAUCCUGUCUGAAUAUGGGGGGACCAUCCUCCAAGGCUAAAUACUCCUGACUGACCGAUAGUGAACCAGUACCGUGAGGGAAAGGCGAAAAGAACCCCGGCGAGGGGAGUGAAAAAGAACCUGAAACCGUGUACGUACAAGCAGUGGGAGCACAGGUUUACCUGUGUGACUGCGUACCUUUUGUAUAAUGGGUCAGCGACUUAUAUUCUGUAGCAAGGUUAACCGAAUAGGGGAGCCGGAGGGAAACCGAGUCUUAAUUGGGCGUUAAGUUGCAGGGUAUAGACCCGAAACCCGGUGAUCUAGCCAUGGGCAGGUUGAAGGUUGGGUAACACUAACUGGAGGACCGAACCGACUAAUGUUGAAAAAUUAGCGGAUGACCUGUGGCUGGGGGUGAAAGGCCAAUCAAACCGGGAGAUAGCUGGUUCUCCCCGAAAGCUAUUUAGGUAGCGCCUCGUGAAUUCAUCUCCGGGGGUAGAGCACUGUUUCGGCUAGGGGGCCAUCCCGGCUUACCAACCCGAUGCAAACUGCGAAUACCGGAGAAUGUUAUCACGGGAGACACACGGCGGGUGCUAACGUCCGUCGUGAAGAGGGAAACAACCCAGACCGCCAGCUAAGGUCCCAAAGUCAUGGUUAAGUGGGAAACGAUGUGGGAAGGCCCAGACAGCCAGGAUGUUGGCUUAGAAGCAGCCAUCAUUUAAAGAAAGCGUAAUAGCUCACUGGUCGAGUCGGCCUGCGCGGAAGAUGUAACGGGGCUAAACCAUGCACCGAAGCUGCGGCAGCGACACUGUGUGUUGUUGGGUAGGGGAGCGUUCUGUAAGCCUGUGAAGGUGGCCUGUGAGGGUUGCUGGAGGUAUCAGAAGUGCGAAUGCUG
Molecule: ribosomal RNA, 1269 nt
Filed under: Salmonella enterica subsp. enterica serovar Newport
Lineage: Bacteria; Pseudomonadati; Pseudomonadota; Gammaproteobacteria; Enterobacterales; Enterobacteriaceae
Description: bacterial LSU rRNA
Rfam family: Bacterial large subunit ribosomal RNA
Source: RNAcentral